RNAcentral lists this long non-coding RNA (460 nucleotides) under Monodelphis domestica (gray short-tailed opossum). RNAcentral describes it as "lncRNA (ENSMODG00000031738.2)". Lineage: Eukaryota; Metazoa; Chordata; Mammalia; Didelphimorphia; Didelphidae. The record is from RNAcentral.
AUUCAUUAGUUCCUCAAGUUUCGCAAUCUGCAGUAAUUUGUCACACUUCAUCAUCAUCAUCAUCAUCAUCAAUCUGUUGCUGAGUCCUAUGAUUCUAUCUUUAGAACAUCUUAAAUUGAUGAAUAUUAAGUUCUACAAAGAAGUUCCAGCUCAAAAUAGAAAUGACUUCAAAAUGAUCAAAGGAGUAAUAAGCUAAAAGUUCAUAUUAACAUGAAAACAUGACUACCGACAGGGGUUCAGGAGGGAGCCUUUAUUCACUCUGCAUUCUUUCUUUGACUCUUCUCCUCCCCAUCCACCAAGCUGCAUCCCAAUUAUCCAAAGAGUGAAAGUUCACCAAAGAGGAAGAAUAAUACCAACUGCUUGUGGAAGAUGCACCAGGGAAGAAAACAUUUUAUGAUUCAGUAGUCUCUAAUUUUUUUUUCAUUGUGAACCAGCAUGAUAAAGUAUUUAGUGUGCUCCC